UGGUGAGGGGAGGAGAGUGCCCACCACAGGGCCUGCAGCAUGUGCCACCUCAAGGGGAGUUGGUGGCUUAACCAUUUUAUUCCCUCAGGUGCCGUGUGAUGAGACCAGAUUGCAGUCAGGAGAGAGACCGGAGAGAGCUCUACAGUUGGUCAGACUCACGGGCUCCUGUGUUCUCUGCCCGCCACCCAGGGCCACUCGAGGAAGCACUGGGGUUGGCCACAAGGCAGAGGGAGAAAGUGACCUAUGGGCAAGCGCCUGGUGGCGGUUUCCACAAGAAGGAACAGGCAGCAGAGUCUCCGCUCAGCGUUACAGCAACUCCUCCUUGCCCUCAACCAUUCACGCCUGGGUGUGGAAUAAAGGACCCGAGAACUACUGUUACCGGACCAAAGGCAGAGCAUUUCAAUCUCUUAAGAGAAAGAGGAGCCAGAGACAGAAGAAUCCUGGGCCCCAGAGUCACCCAGGAACCUUAUUCCUGCUCACCAACCAGGAACAUUUGCAUUGGACUGUCACGUGAACAAAACAUAAACUAGACCUCUACAUUUGGACAUUUCCUCACGGUAGGUCAGUCUAAAGGAGGACUGGAAUCAUACCCACUGGAGUCAGACCGCAGCUGAAGCUGGUGCCAAGGACCUGGAAGGAGAAGAAAGCGCAAAGUGAGACAAACAGGCUGCAGCCAUGUUGUCACAAUACAGAACAUUUAUCACUCAAAGGGGGAGAUAUAUCAAGAGACCCUUAAAACAGCAACUUAAAAUGUUGAGAGAAAAAACUACUUAUCUCCUUCACUACACGUUUCCCUUAAAAUAUGUCCAUUGGGAUGGGGAGGCAUUUGGAAAUGACCAUGGCCUAAAAGUUGAGUGCUAAAAGAGAAAAUGCCACCCAAGGCCCAAACCUGCUGCUGACAACCUUAGUUUUCAGUUUCCCUUGGGCAAUCAAUGAUUGCCCU
This 943-nucleotide long non-coding RNA is filed under the name Equus caballus (horse). RNAcentral's name for it is "lncRNA (ENSECAG00000057876.1)". The record is from RNAcentral. Lineage: Eukaryota; Metazoa; Chordata; Mammalia; Perissodactyla; Equidae.